UAGACGGUACAGUGGGGCGAGAGAGCAA
Molecule: small RNA, 28 nt
Filed under: Bombyx mori (domestic silkworm)
Lineage: Eukaryota; Metazoa; Arthropoda; Insecta; Lepidoptera; Bombycidae
Description: ovarian small RNA-21937
Source: RNAcentral